CCUACUGGAGACUGCAGUGAGGAAUAUUGGUCAAUGGACGCAAGUCUGAACCAUCACCGCAUGUUUCCCUCUUCCUUCCCUCCUUUUUUUCCCCUUCUUUUCUUUUUGAAUAAAAGGGGGCUCGUGAGCCCCGUAUUGUAUGUACCAUCAGAAAAAGGACCGGCUAAUUCCGUGCCAGCAGCCGCGGUAAUACGGAAGGUCCGGGCGUUAUCCGGAUUUAUUGGGUUUAAAGGGAGCGUAGGCCGGCUUUUAAGUCAGCUGUGAAAGUCCGCGGCUCAACCGUGGAAUUGCAGUUGAAACUGGAGGCCUUGAGUGCACACAGGGAUGCCGGAAUUCAUGGUGUAGCGGUGAAAUGCUUAGAUAUCAUGAAGAACUCCGAUCGCGAAGGCAAGUGUCCGGGGUGCAACUGACGCUGAGGCUCGAAAGUGUGGGUAUCAAACAGGAUUAGAUACCCCGGUAGUC
RNAcentral lists this ribosomal RNA (462 nucleotides) under uncultured bacterium. RNAcentral's name for it is "partial 16S ribosomal RNA". It matches the Rfam family "Bacterial small subunit ribosomal RNA", at positions 338 to 795 of the family's 1533-position model. The record is from RNAcentral.